GGCCCGGUAGCGGAUGGUCUGCGCCUGCGUUCCAUAUGGGGAAGCUCAAAUGUCUGCAGGAGUCGCUCGUUCGAAUCGAGCCCGGGCCU
Molecule: non-coding RNA, 89 nt
Organism: Mycena rosella
Lineage: Eukaryota; Fungi; Basidiomycota; Agaricomycetes; Agaricales; Mycenaceae
Source: the annotation of a GenBank genome assembly